UAAAAUUGCCACAGCAAUUAGACUGCUUUUCUCCACGCUUGUCCGAUCACAGCAGCUAAUCAGGGUCAAGUUAGUACUGGGAUGGGAGACUGUCUGGGAAUAUCAGGUACUGUAA
RNAcentral lists this ribosomal RNA (115 nucleotides) under Salvator merianae (Argentine black and white tegu). Lineage: Eukaryota; Metazoa; Chordata; Lepidosauria; Squamata; Teiidae. The record is from RNAcentral.